CCUACGGGAGGCAGCAGUGGGGAAUUUUGGACAAUGGGCGAAAGCCUGAUCCAGCAAUGCCGCGUGAGUGAAGAAGGCCUUCGGGUUGUAAAGCUCUUUUGUCAGGGAAGAAACGGUGAGAGCUAAUAUCUUUUGCUAAUGACGGUACCUGAAGAAUAAGCACCGGCUAACUACGUGCCAGCAGCCGCGGUAAUACGUAGGGUGCAAGCGUUAAUCGGAAUUACUGGGCGUAAAGCGUGCGCAGGCGGUUUUGUAAGUCUGUCGUGAAAUCCCCGGGCUCAACCUGGGAAUUGCGAUGGAGACUGCAAGGCUAGAAUCUGGCAGAGGGGGGUAGAAUUCCACGUGUAGCAGUGAAAUGCGUAGAGAUGUGGAGGAACACCGAUGGCGAAGGCAGCCCCCUGGGUCAAGAUUGACGCUCAUGCACGAAAGCGUGGGGAGCAAACAGGAUUAGAUACCCUGGUAGUCCACGCCCUAAACGAUGUCUACUAGUUGUCGGGUUUUAAUUAACUUGGUAACGCAGCUAACGCGUGAAGUAGACCGCCUGGGGAGUACGGUCGCAAGAUUAAAACUCAAAGUGAAAUUGACCGGNGNGAGAGAGCGAGACGACGACGAGGGAGGAGG
Molecule: ribosomal RNA, 621 nt
Filed under: uncultured bacterium
Lineage: Bacteria
Description: bacterial SSU rRNA
Rfam family: Bacterial small subunit ribosomal RNA
Source: RNAcentral